AGUGAACGCUGGCGGCGUGCUUAACACAUGCAAGUCGAACGAGAACGGAUUAUAGCUUGCUAUAAUUGUCAGCUAAGUGGCGCACGGGUGAGUAAUAUAUAGAUAACCUGCCCUCUAGAAAGGAAUAACAGUUGGAAACGACUGCUAAUGCCCUAUAUGCCUUUAAUACAUAAGUAUGCAAGGGAAACGCUUUAGUGCUAGAGGAUGGGUCUGUAUGGUAUCAGCUUGUUGGUGAGGUAAUGGCUCACCAAGGCUAUGACGCCUAACUGGUCUGAGAGGAUGAUCAGUCACACUGGAACUGAGACACGGUCCAGACUCCUACGGGAGGCAGCAGUGGGGAAUAUUGCACAAUGGACGAAAGUCUGAUGCAGCAACGCCGCGUGGAGGAUGACACAUUUCGGUGCGUAAACUCCUUUUAUAUAGGAAGAUAAUGACGGUAUUAUAUGAAUAAGCACCGGCUAACUCCGUGCCAGCAGCCGCCGUAA
Molecule: ribosomal RNA, 485 nt
Filed under: uncultured bacterium
Lineage: Bacteria
Description: partial 16S ribosomal RNA
Rfam family: Bacterial small subunit ribosomal RNA
Source: RNAcentral